GCCCAGGUAGCUCAGUUGGUAGAGCAGGGGACUGAAAAUCCCCGUGUCGGUGGUUCGAUUCCGCCCCUGGGCACCA
This 76-nucleotide transfer RNA is filed under the name Nitrospirillum amazonense. Its description in RNAcentral is "tRNA-Phe". It matches the Rfam family "tRNA". From Rfam's summary of the family: Transfer RNA (tRNA) molecules are approximately 80 nucleotides in length. Their secondary structure includes four short double-helical elements and three loops (D, anti-codon, and T loops). Lineage: Bacteria; Pseudomonadati; Pseudomonadota; Alphaproteobacteria; Rhodospirillales; Azospirillaceae. The record is from RNAcentral. RNAcentral also lists the same sequence under 26 other names.